UGGGGAAUAUUGGACAAUGGGCGCAAGCCUGAUCCAGCCAUGCCGCGUGAGUGAUGAAGGCCCUAGGGUUGUAAAGCUCUUUCACCGGUGAAGAUAAUGACGGUAACCGGAGAAGAAGCUCCGGCUAACUUCGUGCCAGCAGCCGCGGUAAUACGAUGGGGGCUAGCGUUGUUCGGAUUUACUGGGCGUAAAGCGCACGUAGGCGGACUAUUAAGUCAGGGGUGAAUUCCCGGGACUCAACCCCGGAACUGCCUUUGAUACUGGUAGUCUUGAGUUCGGGAGGGGUGAGUGGAAUUCCGGGUGUAGAGAUGACAUUCGUGGAUAUUCGGAGGAACACCAGUAGCGAAGGCGGCUCACUGGCUCGAUAAUGACGCUGAGGUGCGAAAGCGUGGGGAGCAAACAGG
This 404-nucleotide ribosomal RNA is filed under the name Verrucomicrobiota bacterium. Its description in RNAcentral is "Verrucomicrobia bacterium partial 16S ribosomal RNA". It matches the Rfam family "Bacterial small subunit ribosomal RNA", at positions 355 to 776 of the family's 1533-position model. The record is from RNAcentral. Lineage: Bacteria; Pseudomonadati; Verrucomicrobiota.